This 459-nucleotide ribosomal RNA is filed under the name uncultured bacterium. RNAcentral's name for it is "partial 16S ribosomal RNA". It matches the Rfam family "Bacterial small subunit ribosomal RNA", at positions 338 to 795 of the family's 1533-position model. The record is from RNAcentral.
CCUACGGUAGGCAGCAGUGAGGAAUAUUGGUCAAUGGUCGGGAGACUGAACCAGCCAAGCCGCGUGAGGGAGGAAGGUACAGAGUAUCGUAAACCUCUUUUGUCAGGGAACAAAGACUGGGACGCGUCCCCGGAUGAGUGUACCUGAAGAAAAAGCAUCGGCUAACUCCGGACCAGCAGCCGCGGUAAUACGGAGGAUGCCACGGUUAUCCGGAUUUAUUGGGUUUAAGGGGUGCGCAGGCGGUCUGUUAAGUCCGCGGUAAAAGCCCGGGGCUCAACCCCGGCCCGCCGUUGAAACUGGCAGUCUCGAGUUGGAGAGAAGUAUGCGGAAUGCGCGGUGUAGCGGUGAAAGGCAUAGAUAUCGCGCAGAACUCCGAUUGCGAAGGCAGCAUGCCGGCUCCACACUGACGCUGAGGCACGAAAGCGUGGGUAUCGAACAGGAUUAGAUACCCCGGUAGUC